AUUGGACGCUGGCGGCAGGCCUAACACAUGCAAGUCGAGCGGGGACUUCGGUCCUAGCGGCGAACGGGUGAGUAAUGCUUGGGAAUCUGCCCAGUAGUGGGGGAUAACGUCCCGAAAGGGACGCUAAUACCGCAUACGUCCUACGGGAGAAAGAGGGGGAUCUUCGGACCUCUCGCUAUUGGAUGAGCCCAAGUCGGAUUAGCUAGUUGGUAGGGUAAUGGCCUACCAAGGCGACGAUCCGUAGCUGGUCUGAGAGGAUGAUCAGCCACACUGGAACUGAGACACGGUCCAGACUCCUACGGGAGGCAGCAGUGGGGAAUAUUGGACAAUGGGCGAAAGCCUGAUCCAGCCAUGCCGCGUGUGUGAAGAAGGCCUUCGGGUUGUAAAGCACUUUAAGCGGGGAGGAAGGUUCGCGGCCUAAUACGUCGCGGAAUUGACGUUACCCGCAGAAUAAGCACCGGCUAACUCUGUG
Molecule: ribosomal RNA, 472 nt
Filed under: uncultured bacterium
Lineage: Bacteria
Description: partial 16S ribosomal RNA
Rfam family: Bacterial small subunit ribosomal RNA
Source: RNAcentral